GGACUGUCGCGUAGCGGGGUUCGCAUCGAGUAGGUCUGGGGUUCGAUUCCCCAUAGCUCCACCA
This 64-nucleotide transfer RNA is filed under the name Gordonia phage Madeline. RNAcentral describes it as "tRNA-Ser". Lineage: Duplodnaviria; Heunggongvirae; Uroviricota; Caudoviricetes. The record is from RNAcentral.